This is an RNA transcript of Choloepus didactylus (southern two-toed sloth), 8825 nucleotides long. It is a transcript of the gene named synaptogyrin 2, with no coding region annotated. The record is from RefSeq and is a predicted model, not a curated record. The transcript has 6 exons. Lineage: Eukaryota; Metazoa; Chordata; Mammalia; Pilosa; Megalonychidae.
GCCCGGAGCCGCCCGGCUGGUUCCCCGGCGUUCGGCGACGGCGGCGGCGGCGACAUGGAGAGCGGGGCCUACGGCGCGGCCAAGGCGGGCGGCACCUUCGACCUGAGGCGCUUCCUGGCGCAGCCGCAGGUCGUGGUGCGCGCCGUGUGCAUGGUCUUCGCCCUGAUCGUCUUCUCCUGCAUCUUCGGCGAGGGCUACAGCAAUACCCACGAAUCUUCGCAGAGAUUCUGCGUGUUCAACCACAACGAGGACGCCUGCCGCUACGGCGAGGCCAUCGGGGUGCUGGCCUUCCUGGCCUGCGCCUUCUUCUUCGUGGUGGACGUCUACUUCCCCCAGAUCAGCAGCGUCACGGACCGCAAGUACCUGGUCAUUGGUGACCUGCUCUUCUCAGCUCUCUGGACCUUCCUGUGGUUCGUUGGCUUCUGCUUCCUCACCAACCAGUGGGCGGCCACCAAGCCCCAAGACGUGCUGCUGGGGGCCGACUCGGCCCGCGCCGCCAUCACCUUCAGCUUCUUCUCCAUCUUCUCCUGGGGGGUGCUGGCCUCCCUGGCCUACCAGCGCUACAAGGCCGGGGUGGACGACUUCAUCCAGAACUACGCGGACCCCACGCCCGACCCUGGCUCGGGCUAUGCCUCCUAUCCUGGGGCGUCCGUGGACAACUACCAGCAACCGCCCUUCACCCAGAACGCCGAGGCCACCGAGGGCUACCAGCCGCCCCCCGUGUACUGAGUUGCUGCCGGGGACGGCACACACACUUGAAAAGCCCCUGAGUUCCAGGCCCCAGCAGGGGAAGUGCCACCCACACAUAAGAAGAUAAUUCCAGAGAAGCAAGAACAGAAACCCAACAGCACUCGCCGCAAAGGGGGAAGAGGCUGGCGGCGCCGAUGUCACAAGAGCAUGUGGUUCUGUCCCUCACGACCAGAGGAGGGACGCGCAGCAGCAGGUGGGAAGGGAACAGAGAAGGGGCCCCGGGGGUGGUGAGGCGGGGCUGUGACAUGUACAUCACCAACCUGGGGAAAGGACACCUCCUGUAAGGCUGAAAGUUCCACAAACGCAGUGAAACCUCCUCUCCCCAGACCUCCUCCUCUGAGAAGGCCACGCCAGGGGGGAGCAGCAGAAGGGAGCAGGUGCAGGCUGGCAGGGGGCAGGCCUCCUCCGCCCCUCAGUUGGCCGGGCCAACAGUUUUCCUUGUUCUCUGGCCCAGCCGGCGGCCCCACGGACUUCUUGAAGUAGCAGAGGCGGCACACCGAGUGGUACUUGUCGGCUCCACCGAUGACCUCGACCUGGCCGCAGGGACAGCAAGGGGUUGGUGGGGAAGGGCCCGGAACCCUGCGUGCCCCCCCCACCCCAGUCCCAGCAAGAUAAGGCAGGUGGGGGCUACCUCUGUCUCCGCGCCCAGCCUUUUGGUGUAGGCAGCCUCACGGAAGCAGCCCAUGCACACAGCCGUCAGCUUCACGACACUCUCCGCCAGUGGCACGAGGUUCAGGAUGGUCCCAAAAGCCUGCAGGUCCCACAGAAAGGUGGCAGGUGAGGACGUUCACCGUGCCAGGUGAGCUCGCAAACCCUCUCGCAAGCACCAGGAACAUCUGCCUUGACCUCGCUCUCACCCCACUCAGCAUCCUCUCCGGCUCUGUCCCUUUGCCAGUUCAAAGCACCCGCCUGCAGCCCGCGGCAUCCUGUCAGGGACGCUCACUCCUGGGCAAACCAGGGAGCUGGGGAGGCUUGUCUGAGGCCCCUGGGCUCGGGCAAGGCCUGGUCUGAGCAGCUUGGCUCUGCUCGGUGCCGAGCCCCUGGGCCUCCAGGGACCGUUGCAGUUGGGGAGGAGUGCUUGGCUGGCGUUUUUGUGUACGCCCCGUGCCUGCCGGGAGGGCCCUCUCCCCUCUUAGGAGCCCACCAAGACCUGGGCCAGACGCCUCACCUUCCUCUGGAAAGUUCCAUCCAGUGCAGCCACAAUCACGGUCUUCCCAGCAUUGGCCAUGGCCUCACUGAACUCCACAAUGUCAGGGAACUGGAAAGGGGCAGAAGAAGAGUGAACAUCUACCCUGAGCAGCAGCUGCCAAGAAGAAACUGCCGGAUCUGACAGCUCUGGCCUCCCAUCAGCCUGGAGCCUGAGACAGAGCGACUGACAUUCCUGGCGGCUCCCCUGCCCCGGAGCCCGACAUUCGCCUGCUGUCACUCCCGCCCGCACACGACCACACAGGCUCCCGACUGCCUGUGUCCUGUCCGUUUCCCCUGCAGUCAGCUUCCCGAGCCACAACCAUCCUCUGCGCCAGCCCCCAGCCCCCAACGGCGGUCGAGAGGCUCCUGUGCGAUGAUUUAACCAUUUAACCUGUUCCUUCACCUAAGUUGGUAAACACAGCCCUCGGUUGUUGAAGGACUAGACACUCAGAUAAUUUAUUACGUAUGCUGCUUGGCAUAUGGUGGACCUUUCGUGUCACCCUUUUAAAAACAAAAGGAAAACAAUGUGCCAGGUCAUGUCUCAGGAAGGGAAGGAGGAGGGGGGCCACUGGCUGUUUGCACAGCAGGAUGACACAGCACGCCCCAAACGCAGGGCCUGUAGGAAAGGUCACUUACUCUGUAAUUCCAAUUUCAUUUUAAGUGGCCCAGGGAGAAGCUGCUACUUAAACAAGUCCUUUGGUGUGUUUCCAGUGGUCGAUCCUAUCACCUUUUUAUAGACCUCACUGGGCCCUCUGGCUUGGUUGAAGGUGGGGGUGCCCCUACCUCUGGGUGGAGGGUCCCUUAGUCGCAUUUGUUGAGGUUCAAGGUUACUGAGACUUUCCCUCAGCAAGACGAGGAGCAGGAAAGAGAUUUGAAAGCCCAGAGUGAUCCAAGCGGGACAGUUUGCACUCUGUCUGACUCAACCCCCAGCAGAGCCAGCCGGGCUGCUCCCACCUGCCCCAGCCUCCCCCCACAAACAGGUGCCCCUGCGGGGAAGGAAAACCCAGAGAUCCCAGCACCCCCUCCUGGCCACAGCUUUCCCUCUUUCCUCUGAAAGACUGGUCAUUUGUCACAGAAAGGUAGCUCCCAGCAUGCACUGCAUCCCUGGCGUCUGCCCACUGGAGCCAGCAGCACCCCCCCACCACCACAUGUGGCAACUGAGACUGUCUCCAGACGCUGCAAAUGUCCCCCGGGGGGCGGAAUCAGCCCAGCUGAGCACCUCAGCUCCUCAACCCUCCAGGCUAAGGCAGAAGCCGGGACAGACUCUCCCACGCCAGAUUUUAGGAAUCUAGGAAGGUCCUCAGCCUCCCCUCACUCCCACCCUGCGCUGGCUGAUCCCUGCGCCUCAAGGCUUUGUCCCUGUUCAAAAUCCAAAUGCUACCCUCUCCCCACCUGGGGUAACCCCUGAACCCCCACCAGGGGUUCCUGAGCAAUCAGGGACCUCGAAGGUAAGGAGGCGCCCAAGUUGUCUCCAGCCAUUGGACGUGCCCGCCAGUGACCACGUUAUGGUCAUUUACUUGCAUCGCCAUAGUUACCCAAGUCACAUUUAAAGUGGAACUUCAGAGUACUUGGUAAAUUUAGGAUUUUCUUGGUAGACAAAAACAAUGGCAACAUGGAGUCCUUGGAGAAAUGAAACAAGAGGGCACUCGGCUGUGAUGAGGUUGCCAACCACAGAACCCGGCUUGUCUGCGUUUCUGCACCCACAGUGACCCUCGGCACAAAGAGGGGAGAGAGCCCAAAGGAGAGCCGAGGAAGCUGAAUGGAUUUCCACCUUCCUCGCCACGCCGAGGCCGAGGGCCGGCUGGCUGAUGGCACGGCACCAGGUUGUACCCCCGUUCUGCCCACUGGCCCAGACAUACGUAGCACCCAGGGCCCAGCCUCUGUGGCUUCACAGGCAGAAACCAUAAAGGACGGGAGUGAAGAAUGAGGCGAAUUAAAGAUGAAAUUCUGAAUGGUCCAGGGCUAAAUGAAACUCUGCAAAAGUUUAAAGGCAAACGGGAAAGAGCUAUUUACAGCACAUGGCAAGCAGUGCUGGAUAUUUCCAACCCAUGAAAACUGAAAAACGGGUGGAAGCGCUAACAAGGCAUUUUACCAGAGGAAAAAUAAAACACAAGUGGCCAAUAAACACGAAAGAGAAAUGCAGUCAAAUCAGGACAGGCGUGUGUGCCCAUCCCUGGCCAAGCCGCCUCCUCUCCUGUUGAGAUUUCUGGGAAGCCCUCACUGCCCCCCGCCCAGCAGGCCCUUCUCCACACAUUCCCCUGGCAGAUGGGGCCGCCCUUCAACAGCUUCCCAUCAAGUGAGUCUGGGUGAACACAGGGUCCGAGCUGCACAGCAUGGAAACCCCCCUCCUGCUAACGAGCAACUGCCGCUGCCUCGCCUGGGUCUGCCCUCCCUCGGGGAAGGUCUGAGGUUCCCAUCAGAGAACCCCCUCUUCCCUAAUGCACCCCACCAAGAGCAAAGCCUCGCUCCCCUAAGCCCUCCCCAGAAUCAAAGCGAGAUGCCACAAACCCAAAUCCUCUGGGUCUCUUCUGACACCCUCACCGAGACGCCCCACGGAUCCCCUUGGUGGGUGCGCUCCUUCACUGCGACAAGUAAUGACCCCAACUUGUUCCAACUACUUUGGCUGAAGCGUUGACUGUGAUAAAUGACGGGUUUUCUUUUUUCUUAUACGUGUUUCUAACUUUUUCUAGAACUGGCAUAGUAAAUCAGAAACAAAACACAAAAAGCAGUUUUUAAAAACCUAGGCAUCUGAUUACCGCCAAGCCACCCUGCAGGCUCAUGACUCAUAAAUGAACACCCGUGGGUGAAUUAUGGGUUGCAGGGGCUCCCCUAAAAGGGCUUGCUCAACUCUAACCCUCCAUCCCAUCGAUGUGCCCUUAUUUGGAAACAGGGACCUUGAAGAUGUCAACAAGUGAAGAUGGGGCCUAACUGGAUUGGGGUGAACCUGAUCGAAUCUGACCAGCAUCUUUCCCGGUUGGGGAGAAGAGACAGGCUGCCCAAGUGAGGAUGGCCAUGAGAGACGGACGCAGAGAUGAGCAUUAGGCUGCCAGGAGCCAAAGAUCGCCAAGAAUCGCCGGCCACUCUAGCAGCCAGGAGCGAGGCAGGAAUAUUCUUUCCUAUGAACGACGGAGGGGACAUGGCCCUGAUUUCAGGCUUCUGUCCUCCAGAUGGUGAGAGCAGACAUUCCUGCUUGACGAGCCACCCAGUGUGGGGUGAUUUCCACAGCAGCCACGGGAAACGAGGACAGGGAAUGCCUGCGAGACUGGAGUGCCCAGCACCUCAGGCACAGCCUUCUUCGUUUGUGGUUCUGGGGUCUUCAGAUGCGUCUCUCCCAAACACAAACAACUUCGAGGCGGCCAAAUUACACAGCAACUUGAGUGUGUCCAUGCCUUUCCCAGAGUCACAAAUCAGCACGUGAGCUCUGGUUCCGGGAAGUUCUGAUUCCAUCAGGAAGGCAUGGCAGCCACUCUGUGACAGGCCCUUCCCUGCUGGCCCAGAACUGGGCACAAGGGGGGUGGACGACUGUCCCCUGCACCCUCCCCAGCUAAGGAUACAGGGAAGGGAGGGGAGUCUUCUGUCGGGUUCAAAGUCAAGAGUUGGUCUCCCCUAUCCCAGAACGUGCCGCCAAGGGCAGACCCUGAACUUCCCGCCGAGAACGAGAGCCCCAGAAGCGAGGUCAGAGUUGAAGAACAGCAAUCUUUUUAAUAGCGGGUUCAAUAAAUACUUGAUAAAUGAACUCGAGUUUUACUUGCUUGCCAGUGGGGAAGUUGACAGAUUCUCCCACCAGUCAGGAGGAAAGAGGACCUUGGAGUGCUUGGGACACCAGCUCCUCUCCCAGGGCACUUGGCCAUCCACCAGGGAGAAAGAAGAGAAAAGGAAGGCCCCGGCCAGGAGGGCUCGCUCUGCAAACACGCUUUACAGAAUGCAGGAGAGCAGCGCCAUAAAGCAACUCACAGCAGCGGGGUGGAAGGCAGGCAGACUCUUGUUCGGAGAGGGCCGCCCCCAAAAGCUGACCCAUGCCCACGGCUUGGAAGAGAAAGGAAAAGAGCCACGGCUCUUGUUUCCACUCUGAGUUCCCCUUCCUGUCUGGAUGUCCCUUGCUCAUAAAGCAAUGAAAGAAAUAUCUGUGUGUAUGCAUGUGUGUGAGAUUAAGUUCAGACAUGGUUGUGCUCAGAAACAAGAGCAUCGUCUCUGUGGGUGAGAAAUGGAAGGGAUGUACCCAGCUGGGUGAGCAGACACAGCAGAUGCGAGCUACUGGGUGUCCUGGGGCCAAAACCAGAACCAGCACCAGCACCGGCAGCCGGGAGCCCGUCACCGCAAGGGAGAGGCCAGAGAGGACGGCCCGCACAGGGUAAGGAAGGAGCCAGCCUCACCCUGGCAGUGCAGCUUGAGGCCGUGACAUAUAUAACGGCCAAACCUCCUCAUUCUGUCCUGGGAACCUGGGAGGCAGGGUGAGCAGGGAUAAAAGUUAGAAGCCAGCUCUUCUUCCGGAGUGCAGUUAAAGGGGCCCACAUUCCAGUCUCGAGAAGGUCAGCAGAGAGGAUGUAUGUGACUUCCAGCCUGGACCAUGAGCACCACCCAUUGAGGAACCCCAAGGUUUUCCCCCUUCCACUAUGGGUGCUGCCCUCCAGGGUGGUCCUAGAAGCCACGGAUUGAAGAUGGCGAGCCUCGCUGGUGGGCCUCCCUGCCACGGACCCAAAACCUCGUAGGAAAUCAAUCUCUGCUGUGUCAAGCCACUGGAAUUUGGGGUCUAUUUGUUACAGCAGCUUGCAUUAUCCUCACUAAUGUGUUGGGUGAAACUGCCCAGGGGCCAGUAAGCCCCUUUGAAUGUGGGUUUUAGUUUACUUCAUCCAGGAUGAACCUGCCAAAUCAAAAAAUUCCAAAGCACGGGAGGAAAACUAAGACCACAAAAGACAACCAACAAACACAACCAGAACAUGCACUCCUGAGGAAGUGGAAAUAAAGUAAGCUGGAAGACUUUAAAACAAGACUUCCAAAAAGAUAAUGAAAGGGAUGACAUCAAUUUAAAAACAAAAUAGUAAACUGUUAAGGAAAACUGAGUAUUUAUGAAUUAAAGAGUAGCAGAUUGGAAAGAGAACUAGUCAGAAAUCUUAGAAAUGAAAAAUACAGUUAUUGAAACAGAACACACAUUGGAAAACAGUCUCAGAACACCUAACGGUGUCGAGGGGAGAAAUAUCUAAAGUGACAAUAGCUGAAGUCCACCCCCUCUCUGGCUGCUUGUUCCCUUCCCUGCAAAAUGAAAGCAUGAGUGUUCAAACUUACAAGGCACAGCAAAUACCAAACAGAAUAAAUACCUAUCUUUUGCUAUCCAGCUUAAACUGGAGGACAAAAUAGACAUUUUCAGACAAAGCAAGGCUAGAGGAGGCUGUAUAUGUACAGCUUCCCAUUUACACAUCCUAGAUGCAAGAACAACUAAAGGAUAUACCUCAGCAAGAAGAAAAAUACACCAAGGAAUGAGCAAGAAGCAAUAAUGAGCCAAACACAAAACAAAGCACUCCUUAUACACCAGUGUCAAGAAGCUGAACUCUUUGUCCACUGUAAAAUAAACAAUAUACGUAUACAUUUUAAAGGUAAAGUAGGAAGGGGGAGUUCAAAGGCUGUUCAGACACUUGUUUAUUGUAAGCAUGAAAGUGUAAGGGCAAGUACAAAAAGAAUAGAAAUCAAACCAGUAACUUCCAAACCAGCAGCGGAAAAAGAGGGACAGAGGGGGGAUCACAGGAGGAGCAAUGCAGGACGAGCCAACUUACAAACUGUCCUUCGUCGAUGCCAAUGACGGACACACUCAGAGCCUCCUGGGCCACGUCCCAGAGCAGGCAGGCCGGCACUGCCUCCAUGGUGUUCCUGGGGAGGGGAAGCCAGAGCAUGAGCGAGGCCAGGCCGGGGUUGGGGGUGGACCAGAGGCCGGUGCAGGGGCCAGUGCUCCACCUGUAAACCCGGCUGCAGAGUUUUGAGAAGCAAGCGCCGGCGGGAAGGAAUUGGGAGAAUAAAGCCUUUUUCUCUAAAACUAGAUAUUUAACACGAGAUAGUUCACUUGACACUUUGGACCAGAAAUUAGCAACGCCCCACAUAAAUCUCAACUGAGACACAAAAGCCCUGCUGUGUGUCUGCUCAGUGGAUGGGAGUAGACAGGGCCACCUCCUCCAACAGGCGAAGGAGGUGCAGCACCCAGGACCCGCUGUACUUUUAGGGGCUGAUCAAAAUGUUUUCAUUUCAUUUUUAAAAUCAGAAGAAAAAAAUUUAACUCAGCCUGGAUUAUAUAGGUCUAUGUCAAUGCAGUCACAAAAUACAGUUAUUAUUACUAUUUUUUUAUGGAGAAAAGGGCCCAUGAAAGCAAAAGAGCCUAGGGCCCAAGAAAGUUGGAGUGUGGCCCUGGGGGGAGGUCAUGAGCUCCAGAUCUCUAAGCCCUGCGUGCCCCAGCAGAGGCAAGCCAGGGACCCCGAGUGGCAGUGCAAAGCUCUAGAAGAAUUCCCUGCCACUGGCUCCUCCGGAGAGGCUAAGGGGCUUCUCCAAGACCACAUGGCCACUAACCGGCAGAUUCCGGGGCUCCAGUGCAGAGCCACCGUUACGCUGCUGCCUCAACCUCCUACAGAAUCAAUGGGCAUACCCAGCGGGGGGUCCCAGUGCCACUAAAGGAUGUUUUCGAGCCUACUCGACCACCCUGCCAGGGCCAAUCCUGAGGACAAAUGCUGCUCCGUGUCCUCGGCCUUUCUAUCCAGUAUCUGUGUUUCUUGACAAUGUUGUUUUCUUCGGUCCCCAUUUUUGCCUCCUCCUCUGAACUGGCCCCAGGGAGGAGCUGACAGUUUCCUGAAGGCUCAGCAGUUUGUAGCUGUAUUUUUAAACAAUAAUAAAAUAUUUUACAACUACUG